This 782-nucleotide ribosomal RNA is filed under the name uncultured organism. Its description in RNAcentral is "SSU rRNA". It matches the Rfam family "Bacterial small subunit ribosomal RNA", at positions 60 to 854 of the family's 1533-position model. The record is from RNAcentral.
ACUUAAGUUUGAUUCUUCGGAUGAAGACUUUUGUGACUGAGCGGCGGACGGGUGAGUAACGCGUGGGUAACCUGCCUCAUACAGGGGGAUAACAGUUAGAAAUGACUGCUAAUACCGCAUAAGACCACAGGGUCGCAUGACCCGGUGGUAAAAACUCCGGUGGUAUGAGAUGGACCCGCGUCUGAUUAGCUAGUUGGUGGGGUAACGGCUCACCAAGGCGACGAUCAGUAGCCGACCUGAGAGGGUGACCGGCCACAUUGGGACUGAGACACGGCCCAAACUCCUACGGGAGGCAGCAGUGGGGAAUAUUGCACAAUGGGGGAAACCCUGAUGCAGCGACGCCGCGUGAAGGAUGAAGUAUUUCGGUAUGUAAACUUCUAUCAGCAGGGAAGAAAAUGACGGUACCUGACUAAGAAGCCCCGGCUAACUACGUGCCAGCAGCCGCGGUAAUACGUAGGGGGCAAGCGUUAUCCGGAUUUACUGGGUGUAAAGGGAGCGUAGACGGCAUGGCAAGUCUGAAGUGAAAGCCCGGGGCUCAACCCCGGGACUGCUUUGGAAACUGUCAGGCUAGAGUGCUGGAGAGGUAAGUGGAAUUCCUAGUGUAGCGGUGAAAUGCGUAGAUAUUAGGAGGAACACCAGUGGCGAAGGCGGCUUACUGGACAGUGACUGACGUUGAGGCUCGAAAGCGUGGGGAGCAAACAGGAUUAGAUACCCUGGUAGUCCACGCCGUAAAACGAUGACUACUAGGUGUCGGGUAGCAAAGCUAUUCGGUGCCGCAGCAA